UACGUAGGGGGCUAGCGUUAUCCAGAAUUACUGGGCGUAAAGCGCGUGUAGGCGGCCCUGCAAGUCGGAUGUGAAAUCCCACGGCUCAACCGUGGAAGUGCAUUCGAAACUGCAGGGCUAGAGUCCUGGAGAGGAAGGUGGAAUGCUUGGUGUAGAGGUGAAAUUCGUAGAUAUCAAGCGGAACACCGGUGGCGAAGGCGGCCCACUGGUCCGGUACUGACGCUGAGGUGCGAAAGCGUGGGGAGCAAACAGG
RNAcentral lists this ribosomal RNA (253 nucleotides) under uncultured bacterium. RNAcentral's name for it is "partial 16S ribosomal RNA". It matches the Rfam family "Bacterial small subunit ribosomal RNA", at positions 524 to 776 of the family's 1533-position model. The record is from RNAcentral.